UCAGUCUGCUCUUCCCUGGAUGAACCAGGCCCAGCUCCUGCAAUCUCUCCUCAUAAGACAGAUGCUUCAGGCCCCUGAUCAUCCCUGUGGCCUCUGCUGGACACUCUCCAGUAGCUCCUUGCCUGUCUUGUGCUGAGAAGCUCAGAACUGCACACAGUGCUCUGGAUGGGGCCUCAUCAGGGCAGGGUAGAGGGGGACGAUCACCUCCCUUGACCUCCUGCCACACUCCUGAUGUACCCCACGGUACUCCUGUCCCUCCUGACCCAAGGGCACAAACUGCCAGCUCAUGGUCAACUCAUCAUCCACCAACACUUCCAGGUCCUUCUCAGCUGAACUGCUCUCUGGUGGGUCAGCCCUCAACCUGUGCUGGUACCUGGGGCUCUUCCUCCCCAGGGCAAGCACCCUACACUUACCAGAGGCUGCACCAGCCAUGGCAAACGUGACCCUGCUCCAUUAUGGAACUGUGCGGUGCUGUUUUGCUUUUGUGUUUAAUAUUGGUAAUUAUGCAAUUUCUAGACAACUUCCCUGUCAUAACUAGGGCAGCAAUGCUGACAAAACAGGCUUUAAAUAAGCACUUGUCAAAGUAACAGCUAUUUUUGUUUGCCCUAUUUAGCACCAUGUUUAAGGUCUACAUUGGAAAUCUCAGACAAUUUUAAAUACAUAGUGCAGUUACUUUAGCACUGCAUCACUAUAUUCAAAGUCCCUGGAGCUUGGAAAAUAAAAGUGCUUUAACAGAACCUUUUGGUAGUUUCUGGCUGCACAUAAAGGUUGUCGCUUUUGCAAGACCUGCUUGAGUACCAGGAAGCACAGACAAGCUUAGGGCUGAUGAGCCCUUCUUCAGGCUAUAAGGACUGCUGGGCAGAAAAGAUUCAAUACCAUGUUUUUUCCCAUUUCUGAAUCUUUCAGAGGGUUCUCCAGUGGAAAAGAAGGAACAAACCCACCAAUGCAAGACUUGGCAGUCCUGCUGUUCCUCAGGUAAGAAACAGGGAGCAAUCUCAAAACUGCUUUGUUCAUAAUUAAGAAAAGACAAGAAAUCCCUUUCCCUUCCUUCAUGAGCCCUGUCCAAAGCAAUGAUUUCCACACUCAGCCACUGGGCUGCCUUGUUUGCCCAAUGCUGGUAGCAGAGAGCAUAGAUACAACUUCAGCACAUGGUGAGAGGUUUCUUACCCAAGGUGCUGUGAAGUGGUAACUUCAAGGCCUUUCCUGGCCAUAUGGCAAAGCAGGGAUGAGCACAACCCAAAAUGCAUGGAGACUCAGUCUUCAGGAAGGAAAAGGGAGACUAGAUGCCCAGUGAUAUGAGUGUGACAGUAACUGAGGAGUGCUUCCUUCAGGAAAUAAAACUACCAGCCAAGCACAAAUGGAUUGCACAGUAACAUGUGAGAGUGAUUCCAUACUGGUUUAUUUAGGCUAUUCCUUUUUCCUUUCCCCUCUGUCUCCAGACUAUGGACUUCCUAUAGCCUGUCCCUAGGAAGUUUGUGGUGUGUUUCCAGAGAGCUUCUGGAGCUCUGCUAGGACAGCCUCACACAGUUACAUUCAAAAGGCUCUGGGGAGGAAGAAAAGGGUUCAGGAGGAUCCUUGCUACCUUUAUGCAGAUAGCAACAGGAGUAACAGCAUUUAGGAGCCCUGUGUUUUGAGCAACACCCUUGCCUUCCCUCCCUCUCAUUGCUACCAGCGGAUGCCAGAGAGACAGCCAAAGCAAACAUAACACUUGGGAAACGGUCUGUAUAUCCAAAACAAAAGAGGUUUUCUUUCAUCAGCUGUUUCCUGUUGUCAACGAGUGGAAAGCUGUUUUUGUGGAGCAACAUACUCUUGGUCAUGAAAUCGAUGAGCCCCAAUCUGAUUCUUUAGGAUGUGUUAUACUCUGAUUUCCAUCAGAGUAGCCCAAGAAGACCCAGGGGUUUCUUUGGGAAAGGGAUCCUCACAAACCCCAUGUGCACUGUGCUCAGGAGGGAAGGGAUUUACAGAUGGUGCCUCCAAUGGGAGCAGUCAGGAAGGACUUGGCAAGUCCUCACUACCUCCUUGCAAUGGCAUUGACUUGACCAGCAAAAUGAACAGAAGUCCCCAUGUCCUCACCACCAUGUUUUUAA
Melopsittacus undulatus (budgerigar) is the source of this 2087-nucleotide long non-coding RNA. RefSeq lists it as uncharacterized. The record is from RefSeq and is a predicted model, not a curated record. The transcript has 3 exons. NCBI's taxonomy places the organism in Eukaryota, Metazoa, Chordata, Aves, Psittaciformes, Psittaculidae.